GUAGGGGGCAAGCGUUAUCCGGANUUACUGGGUGUAAAGGGAGCGUAGACGGCACGGCAAGCCAGAUGUGAAAGCCCGGGGCUCAACCCCGGGACUGCAUUUGGAACUGCUGAGCUAGAGUGUCGGAGAGGCAAGUGGAAUUCCUAGUGUAGCGGUGAAAUGCGUAGAUAUUAGGAGGAACACCAGUGGCGAAGGCGGCUUGCUGGACGAUGACUGACGUUGAGGCUCGAAAGCGUGGGGAGCAAACAGGAUUAGAUACCCUGGUAGUCCACGCCGUAAACGAUGACUGCUAGGUGUCGGGUGGCAAAGCCACUCGGUGCCGCAGCUAACGCAAUAAGCAGUCCACCUGGGGAGU
Molecule: ribosomal RNA, 355 nt
Filed under: uncultured bacterium
Lineage: Bacteria
Description: bacterial SSU rRNA
Rfam family: Bacterial small subunit ribosomal RNA
Source: RNAcentral